Molecule: ribosomal RNA, 377 nt
Filed under: uncultured Chloroflexota bacterium
Lineage: Bacteria; Bacillati; Chloroflexota
Description: bacterial SSU rRNA
Rfam family: Bacterial small subunit ribosomal RNA
Source: RNAcentral
UAAUACGUAGGGGGCGAGCGUUAUCCGGAUUUACUGGGCGUAAAGAGAGCGUAGGCGGUUCUUCAAGUCGGAUGUAAAAUCUCCCGGCUCAACUGGGAGGGAUCAUUCGAUACUGUUGGGCUAGAGGACAGCAGAGGGAGGUGGAAUUCCCGGUGUAGUGGUGGAAUGCGUAGAUAUCGGGAGGAACACCAGUGGCGAAGGCGGCCUCCUGGGCUGUUUCUGACGCUGAGGCUCGAAGGCAUGGGGAGCGAACAGGAUUAGAUACCCUGGUAGUCCAUGCAGUAAACGAUGGACACUAGGUAUAGGAGGUAUCGACCCCUCCUGUGCCGAAGCUAACGCUUUAAGUGUCCCGCCUGGGAAGUACGGUCGCAAGACUA